Long non-coding RNA from Colias croceus (clouded yellow), 547 nucleotides. RefSeq lists it as uncharacterized. The record is from RefSeq and is a predicted model, not a curated record. The transcript is spliced from 2 exons. NCBI's taxonomy places the organism in Eukaryota, Metazoa, Arthropoda, Insecta, Lepidoptera, Pieridae.
AUCAAACUAUUAUAGAAGAGCAAGAUGCAGAAGACAAACUAUUAGGGCUCAAAAACAGCCAUGGACAGCCGUAGAACUAAAGUGGCAAGACUCUACAGAGACGAAGCUAAUUGCUGCAAAAUAGUUAACUAAAGCUCCAAUACCUCAAUACAAUGAAUAUGCGGCUCUUAAAAAAACCCAAAGGAUAUCUUCUGCUAGAAAUAGAUUGUGAAAACCACAGAACAGUGAAAACCAAAGGACAAUAGAUACAUAUAUCACUGAAAGCUUCCCCACAAUCAAGCCAAAAAUAUUUGAAUUAGUAAGUUACUUCUGAUCAAGCAAGAUAUUGUCAUAUACUUAUUACUUUAUUAAAUACCUAUUACUUUAGUAAAUUACAUUAGGUAGGAUAUAGUUCCCAUAUAAUAUGUAAAGAGCUUAUUGUACUUUAAUUUUUUUUUGGUGCAAAAAAUGUUUAAGUUUUAGCAUUUAUGAUCAUUUUCCCGACGACGAAUGUGAAUUAUGUUUCAAUGAGAAUAAAUUCAAAUGUUUAAAAUAACGGUUUUACUUG